Molecule: small RNA, 68 nt
Filed under: Pogona vitticeps (central bearded dragon)
Lineage: Eukaryota; Metazoa; Chordata; Lepidosauria; Squamata; Agamidae
Description: 7SK RNA (ENSPVIG00000007293.1)
Rfam family: 7SK RNA
About the family: 7SK was discovered as an abundant small nuclear RNA in the mid-70s but a possible function has only recently been suggested. Two independent studies have found that 7SK RNA binds the CDK9/cyclin T complex (known as elongation factor P-TEFb). P-TEFb activates transcription by phosphorylating the C-terminal domain of RNA polymerase II.
Source: Rfam by way of RNAcentral
UGCGACAUCUGUCACUCUAUUGAUCACCAGGGUUGAUUUAGCUCAUCUGGCCGGCUAGGCAGGUACCU